CUAAAUCUUGUACUUGAGUAACUGGGUAGGUGGUCAAGCCAUUUUCUGAGAUGGCAAAAACUGGGAGAACAGUUCUGUGGGUGUUGUGGGUGUUAGAAGCCAGAUAUCAAAAGUGUGUGGGACAUUUAGACUUUGAGAUGCCUAUUAGACAAGCAGGUGGGGAAGGAGGCAGUUGAAUAUGAGUCUGGAGCUGGGAGGAGAGAGAUGAGAGCUGUAGGUACGGAUAGAAGUCAAAUCUGGAUGUUGCCAGGCGCGGCGGCUCACACCUGUAGUCCCAGCAC
RNAcentral lists this long non-coding RNA (281 nucleotides) under Homo sapiens (human). Its description in RNAcentral is "non-protein coding lnc-MACF1-1:1". Lineage: Eukaryota; Metazoa; Chordata; Mammalia; Primates; Hominidae. The record is from RNAcentral.